This 7195-nucleotide unclassified non-coding RNA is filed under the name Nilaparvata lugens (brown planthopper). RNAcentral's name for it is "transcription initiation factor TFIID subunit 4, transcript variant X4". Lineage: Eukaryota; Metazoa; Arthropoda; Insecta; Hemiptera; Delphacidae. The record is from RNAcentral.
CAGCAAUAUUGUGUAGUGUUUCUCAAUAUCUAUAAUUGAUUAUGAAAGAUGUUUUAAACAAUAUAUUAUGCCUAAAUUACAAAUGUUUCUAUCCAAAUAAUGAAAUAUCUUUCCAAAUUGAUGAAUUUCAUUCAAUAUUUAAAAAUAAAACAGUUUCUAUUGUAUGUAAAGUAGAAGACUACUUUACGUUUUUACUCCGUCUCAAGGGCAAUGCACUGUGGGUACGAUUUGUGUAUGGCGCAUGCGCACAUCAGUUUACAGUUGGAUUUUGGCAGAAAAUGGCGUCAGCGAAGUUCUUGGAGGAAGCUCUCAGCACAGACGUGGAUGAGUCGGCAGUGAACGCUUUAGUUGGUUCUCUUGAAGAUCAGUUGGUUACAACAGCUCCUAAUGCUUCUAAUCCACAAGCAACUUCUGUUACAGUGAAUCAAAAUCAUAUGACCAGCUCUAUUUCAAAUGGGGGCACAGUAACUACUCAGAAACAUGGUGUAUCUAACGGUGGGUCAGACUCUAUGAAUAUUAUUUUAAACAAUGACGCGAAUAAAGUUUUACCUAGUGCUUCUCAUCAAAGUUCGAACACUUUACCUACGAGUGUCGUGAAUACAGUUGUUGCUUCGUUACAUGGUGGUGUUACGUCUAGUGGUUUUCUCAAUCAAGUGACUUCUAAUAUAGGCUUAGUUCAGCCUAAUCUAACUAAUGUUAACAAACCACAAGAAAAUGUUAAAUUAGUGUUCCCAUCAAAUAGUCAAGCUGUGACAACAAGUGUAGGUGUUAACAUAAACAAUAGAGUAACUUACGCAAAUCAAACAACUUCCCUCCCAAAUGGUAGUAUAGGCAUAACACAUAGUGGCUUGAAUGUUACAUCAACUAAUGUACAGAGCAUUGUUACACAGAGUUAUUCACAAGCUGGUAGCAAUGCAAAUAAACAGGUAGGAAGUGUAGUUGGCAUGGACCAGAAUAAACCGACUGGAACGGCAUUAGUAAUAAAAUCUAGUGGAAAUUCUCAUGGGACGCAAGGUGCUCAGAUGACAACUGGCGUUGUUCCUGUUUCGAUGACAGUUAAUUCUACAAUGACUCUGACUGGAUCUCAUGCCGUUAAUACGGCUAUAAAUACCACCACGUCUUCUGGAGUACCUGGCGUUGUUACGUUAGCCAAGCCCAUCAAUCAGUCUGUAGGUACACAGCAGACAAUCGUUGGAAAUAAUCCUACAUUAAUUCCGACCAAUGUCCAAAUACUCAAUGUGAAUGCUAUUCGAGCUGCCGCCCCAGGACAGGCGGGGCAAAAGACAUUGCCAUCAAGGGUUAUGAUAGGCCCUCAGAUGGUUAGUGCCAGACCUGGCCAACCAGGACAGAUCACGUUGCAAGCACUGCAAGGCCUGCAGCCGGGCACUCAAGGUCAUCUGCUGGUCAAGACUGAGAACGGCCAGUAUCAGCUGUUACGGGUGGCCGGCACUACGCAGACGCAGACGGCCGCCAUAGCGCCAAACAACGCCGCCGGAACUGCCUUUCGCAUGCAACAUGUCCCUGCUGCGGGAGGUGCCGCAGCAGGGACUAUUCAUACCCAGGUGCCGGCUUUGGCUGCUACAACCACCACCACUACCACACCAACCGUUGUUACACAGCAGCAGCAGCAGCAGACCCAACAACAACAGCAGCAGACGACACAGCAACAGCAGACGACGCAGCAGCAACAACAGCAGACGACAACAGGAGGCGUGGCCAGCCAACAGCAACGACACGGCGUCGACACGACCAAGGAGAAAUGCCGCAAGUUCCUGGCCAACCUGCUGGAGUUGUCGAGUCGCGAGCCGAAGGCGGUCGAGACCAAAGUGCGCACUCUCAUCCAGGAGCUCGUCGACACCAAGGUGGAACCGGAACAGUUCUGCGAUCGCCUCGAACGGCUGCUCAACGCCUCGCCGCAGCCUUGUCUUAUCGGCUUUCUCAAAAAAAGUCUACCACUACUUCGACAAUCAAUGGUGACGAAUGAACUGGUAAUAGAAGGAAUUCGGCCGCCUCCUCGCAAUGUAGUAUUCUCAAUAGCAUCGACAACACCAACCAUCGUUCAACCACAACAAGUUCAGACAAGUCAAUCGACGGUAGCAAUGACGACGAGCGUUCGACCACAAGUACAAAUGAACACAACACCACAGAUGAGGGUGAUCACUCACCCGAACACCACCCCUGUCUCCACCCCCACUCGACCAACUCAGCAGAUCCAGCAUCGCAUCGUUACUCCAAUGCGGGUUCCGUCGCCGGUCACGACAAAGGUGAUGAACGCCGUGUCGACGGGGGGCGUGAGGGGGGUGGGCACGAGUGUGGGGAUAGGGGUGGGGACCGGGGGGCCGACAACACCUCAAGUGGUGCGUGUGCAGACGACACCCGUACGCGCAAACGCACCCACAACCACCACCAUCAUCAAGACGCCGAGCGUCGCUGCAGCGCUGCAUCUCAAACAGCAGCAGCAGCAGAGUCAUGCGGCUGCUUUGCUCGCGGCAAAGGCGGCGGCAGCAGCGGGGGGCAGCAUAGGGGUGGGGGUGGGAACGGGGGGACUGGCCGCCUCUCGGUUAACGACGACAUCGAUUGUGACGUCAGCCGCCUCCAAGGCUCCCUCCUUCCUCCUCAAGGCGGUCACCGCCUCCGCCGCCGCCAAAGACAAGGAGAAAAAAUCGUUCGCCUCGGCCGGGGGCGGGGGAGGCGGUGGAUACACGGGUGAUGACGACAUCAAUGACGUGGCGGCGAUGGGAGGUGUGAACCUGGCCGAGGAGACGCAGAGGAUAUUGGGCUCCACCGAACUCAUUGGCACCCAAAUCAGAUCCUGUAAAGACGACCUCUACCUGCACGCUUCACCUCUUAUGCACAAAAUUUGUCAAAUAGCUUCUCGACAUGGCCUUGAUGACCCUACCUCGGACGUGGCGUCCCUAGUAUCGCAUGCGACACAGGAGAGGCUAAAAACACUUGUAGAAAAACUGGCUGUGAUAGCUGAACAUAGGAUAGACUUCAAUAAGGCGGAUAGCCAGUACGAGGUGACACAGGACGUGCGCGGGCAGCUGAAGUUGCUGGAGGAGUUGGACAAGGCGGAGCGAAAACGGCACGAGGAGCAGGAGAGGGAGUUGCUGCUCAGGGCGGCCAAAAGUCGCAGCAAGACAGAGGACCCCGAGCAGGCCAAGCUCAAGGCCAAAGCCAAAGAGAUGCAACGAGCCGAAAUGGAAGAGUUGCGACAAAGAGAAGCGAACCUUACGGCGCUGCAGGCUAUCGGCUCUCGAAAGAAACCAAAGCUCGAGUCAUCAGAUAUGCUGGCGAGUAGUGGGCAGUUGGCGAGCCGUCCGCGCUUAAAGCGAGUGAACCUUCGCGAUCUGCUCUUCCUGCUGGAACAGGAGAAGGAGUCGUGUCGGACGCCGCUGCUCUACAGGGCGCACCUCAAGUGAUGCAUGUCCUUCCCCCUCCCCCUUCCUCCUCCCACUCCUCACCCCCCACCACCACCACCACCACCAAACUCAGCCGACGCCGCCUAGGGACCAACUGCAGCAAACUGUCCAGUACUGACCUCGACAUAGACGUUACUGUUUCCAUAGUGCCUCCACGGUCUCACACAGUAUCGACUGGUGAGCCGUCAAUCUAAUUAACUAUCGAAUUAGUGUUGUAUUGCUGGUUCGAGACUUAACAUUGAAUAAUUUAUAUUGGUUACCCACAAGAAUUAUAGUUGAAUUAUAUUGUUGAGCAAAACUAGUGUGUGAUUGUAAUUGUAAGUUUUAGUAAAAAUGCAAAUUUGUCAUCCACGAUGUAAAUAAUUAUUUUUUAACGAUUGGAAGAAGAAUAUUUGAAAUAUUAUUCAAUUUGUACAUAGCGUAUUGUUUUAUAUCAUAAUGUUCCAUUUAGAUUAAUUUAAUAUAAAUAAAUUUUAUUUUUCAAUUGCCUACUUUGUUUUUAAUUUUUGAUUUUGAACUACUUUAUUGUUGGAUAAUACCAGAGACGGGUAGGUUCCCUACAACAAGGUUUCGAUCAUAAAUAUCUUACUAAUUCAACUCCAGGCUCCGUAUAGGUCUUAGUGAUGUCCUUCGAUGAGAACGUUACAUAAUAUUGGUACGGUAUUAGCGGGUUCCUCCUAGAUAGGAUUGCUACUGCUCAAUUCAUAGCAGAGUUUUAUUAUAUAAAAGUGCAGUAAACCUAAAAAUAUGAUGAACUAGAGUGGUAAAAUCAAUAUACUAGAUUAAAAAAUACAUUUUGUACGAAAUUUUAUAUUUGGGGAGCUUUAUUUGAGUAGGAUGGGGGGGGGUAAGUAAUCAUCCAACACCACCUCAAGAUAAUUGAAUUAUCAAUACUUUUAUCUAAUGAGAUGAAUCACUUUAUCAUGAUAAUAUCAAUAUUACCAAUUCCAGAAUUUAAGUUUACCAUAGCAAUUUAAAAUGGUGUAGUGUUUAAACAUUCUUUCAUUUGUAUCGGACAACAAUUUAUUCGAAAAACAACUUUCCUCUACAACUGUAAUAACUAUAGUGAAAUUCACGUUAUCAAGUCAAAACCUGAUUAAUAUUGGUUUGUUAUCUUUGUCUGUCAUUAGACAAUGGAAAUAAUUCUAUCCUUUUCCAUCUCUGCACAGUUUUCAAAUCGCUUGUAGGCUAUGAAGAAAUAUAAUUAACUACCUAAAUAUUCAAUCUCAAACAUGAUAAUUUAUUAUUGAAUUAUAAAUAUGAUAAUAUGUGAGAUAUUAACGACAAGAAUCAACAAAAUAAUAUCAGAUGUACCGGGAUUACUUGAACAUAACUACGCCUUGAAAUUACUUGAAUCACGCCUUGUAUGGAAGGCGUUAGAAAAAGAAAUUUGCUACUAUUCAAUCCAAUCAUUUACACUGAUUAAUGAUUCAAAUAACCUAUUCAAGAGGAUAACCUGAGUUCACAAAACAAAAUAGAAUAGUCCGUAAAAUCGACUCAGAAAAAUUCUCUCAGGUGGCAGACUACCCUAUUGAGUAGUAUGCAGUGAAGGAAAUAAUUGGAAUGAGGUACUAGCAUUAAACUCAUAGGAAAGGUCACGAAACUCAUGUUUCCCCCUAAAUGAAUUAGGGGUCAGCGGAAUUAUUUUCAUAAUUGAUUUAUUUGUGAAUCAAUAAGUUAAUAAUAUCAGUUAUAAGUUAUUAUAUCACUUGAGUAGUUCUCAGAUUCAUUCUUGAACUAAUAGUGAAUACGAUUCUGUCUUGAAUAAGCUUUUGUUUUAGUGAAAAAAUAAUGUCAGUUUCACUGGAUUGAUUGAAAUGCCUUGAAAAAUUCUUCCACUUUGCCACUCCAUUUCGUAUUGAAGUAACUUCCGAAUAGCUUCAAUAACAUAAUCAAUGGAUCUGAAAAUUGGCCUUUGAAAUUGUUGCAGAUAAAUUAUUCUCUACUUCUGUUGGUAUAUCGCAGUUCAUCCCUUUGAUAAUAGUUGUCGCAGUUGCUUCUCAGAUAUUAGAUCUGAUAAUAUCGUUUCAUUGUCUCUUUUCUUAUGGGAUACAUGACAUGUAGGAUAAUAUGAUCAAAUGUACAAAAAGGAAGAAUGCAAUGUCAUGUUGCUUCUUCUACAGUUGACUGUGGGCUAUAGUUUUCUGUUUCACUAAGAGAUUGUUAGCCUUACAGUCUCAACUGCUUUCCUAGUGGCUGUGUUUUGUUAAAAAUAAAGUUCAAAAUUUUCUCUAAGAACACAAACUUCUCAGUAUGUUUUCGAGAUUAUGAAAAAGCAAUAUCAGAACGGUUCCUUCUAGUAUCGAAUAAGGAUCAUUCAAAUGUAUCUACUUAAUAGAACCUUAAUUCAAUACAAAACUCAAACCAACUUUAUAACACACUGGUUGGUCAGUAGUCAAUUAAUGCGAUCGUAGAUGAUAAUUAAAUGUGUAUUGAUUAUUGUUAUCACUAUUGAAAAUAAUAGUCUCAGUACAUUGAUAUCGGGGAUUAUUUUAAUAUUUUAUUACGCAACUUGAUUGAAAACUUAUAUUCUCACACUUUAAAAACAAUAUUUUUCUUUAAAAAUUCUACUUUUUUGGAAGUGAAUAAAAUAUAAUUAUUAUUAUUAACAUUUCAUUUAAGUUACUAUUUGAAAUUUUCUUCUAUAAAUAUCAAUGAUUAGUAGAAUUUAAAUUUUAGAAUACAAUUUAUUGACAUAUCUUAUCAAAUUAUGUAUAGAGUAUAUAAAAUUAUUAUUUUGAAAUCGGAAUUUCAUUUUCAUUUUAAAAUUCUAUUGAUUCUCGAAUUGUAGCAUUUAAAAAAUAAUAAUUAUGUUAUGGGCUGAUAUCACUUCAUUCACUUAUAAUCUCAAUUUUUAGUCUAAUUUUCAAAUUUGUUAGUCUUUGAAUUAGUGAAUUGGUUCAGUGGGUUUUUUAUUUUGAAAAAUAUUCAAAUAUGAGCUCAUAUUUUAAGAGAUUCUCUUGUGAUAUGGUUUCUAUUCUUCAAUUAUCUUUCAUUUUCCAGUUUCUAUCUGUUGACUAAAUGGUUUCAAAUAUUUGUGAUGCAAAUGUUUUAUUAAACAUGUCUACUUCCCGUCUUAUUAAAUAUAAUCAACAAUUUAUUGUUACUAACACAAGUGCAAUUUGAUAGAUUUUGUACUGUUAAGUGUGAACGAACGAAUGCAGAUAAUAACGAUAAAAUGCGGAAUUGAAAACAUUGUGAAUCUUUAUAAUAAUAAAUGAAACAUGUAGUUGAUUUUAGAUAGAAAUAUUAGUCAAACAUUUUUUGUGAAUUUUCUAUUUAAGAUGGUGAGAAUUUGAUUACGUAUGUUUAAUUAAUGUGAAUAUUGUAAAUACAUAAUUGUCAUUUUGUAAAUGAACUCUUAAUAUAUUCGAGAAACAGCUAUUUUUAUGUACAGUGCAUAAAACAACACAAUAAUUAAUAAGUAUAAUGUUUUAAUAAUAAAAAAAUAGUAAAAACCUAAAUUUAUUAAGAAUAUUGUUAGCUUAUUAAAAAGGAUUGUGUUCAUCAGCGUUACGAUUAAUUAUAUGAGGAUAAGAUGUUUUCGAAAAAAAUUAUAAUUAUUUUCAACAACCCUUUGUUAUCCUUCCUUUGCAUGUUAUUUUUCUUUGUAAAUUUGUGUCUAUAGAAAUGUGUCUGGCUUUUGUUAUACUGCUGUACUUCAUUGAACUGUUGAAAACAGUCACUUUGUUUUUGGGAAACAGAGUUGUUAGUUGUGGUGAUGAUAAUUAUUAUUAUUAUUCUGCUUGUUUGAAUAAACCACUUUCAAAAGU